UACGUAGGGGGCUAGCGUUGUCCGGAAUCAUUGGGCGUAAAGCGCGUGUAGGCGGUCCGGUAAGUCCGCUGUGAAAGUCGAGGGCUCAACCCUCGAAUGCCGGUGGAUACUGUCGGGCUAGAGUACGGAAGAGGCGAGUGGAAUUCCUGGUGUAGCGGUGAAAUGCGCAGAUAUCAGGAGGAACACCGAUUGCGAAGGCAGCUCGCUGGGACGUAACUGACGCUGAGACGCGAAAGCGUGGGGAGCAAACAGG
Molecule: ribosomal RNA, 253 nt
Filed under: uncultured bacterium
Lineage: Bacteria
Description: partial 16S ribosomal RNA
Rfam family: Bacterial small subunit ribosomal RNA
Source: RNAcentral